Molecule: long non-coding RNA, 745 nt
Organism: Penaeus chinensis
Lineage: Eukaryota; Metazoa; Arthropoda; Malacostraca; Decapoda; Penaeidae
Exons: 2
Source: RefSeq, a predicted model, not a curated record
GGAGUGGUGUGAAAAUGAAAUAGAUUUUGUGUUAACCAUUGUUUGAUGCAUUAAAUAUAUAACUAACAUGUUAAGUUGCUCAUGAUCUUUUUCAGUUUAUUUUUUGCAUAUUUACUGUUUGGGCAUGUAUGUGUGUAUUUGAAAAUUAACUGGAAUGAUUCAGGUCUAAAGUUAGCACAGGCUAAUAAGAAAUAUUGAUAUAGCAUUUAAACUAAACUGUUUGCAAGUGAUUAAUUUCAAGUUUGGUUGGUAGAUGUGUAUUUAGGAUUCUUUUGUGGUUAUUAUACAUGUAUGAUUAUAUUUUUUUUUCUUCUCUUUCGUUUAAUGGUUGAACAUUUACUCAAGAUGUUUAUUUUCUGUACCAAGUAAAUGUUUAGAGAAUGCUGUGGCAUUGCCUUUCAUCAUUUUUUUCUAUAUGUUUUGAACUGACUGCACACUGACAAGCUCAACUAAGGAAGUCUCCAUAACACUCGGGCCAGAUACAAAGGCUCCAGGGUUGGUCACAAGGUCUCGGACUCUACUGAACAACUGAAUACACAAAAGGACCCAUGCGGAGAGAGGGGUCAACCAAGUUAAUGUUUGGGAGCGGUAAAUGACUGACAUAAUUGCUAUGGCUUUUUGUAGCUGUGACAAUGAAAACACAAUUUGGUUUCUUUAUAUUUUACUUCUUUACUUACAGGAGAGAGAGAGAGAGAGAGAGAGAGAGAGAGAGAGAGAGAGAGAGAGAGAGAGAGAGAGAGAGAGA